UACGGGAGGCAGCAGUUAGGAAUAUUGGUCAAUGGGCGCAAGCCUGAACCAGCCAUCCCGCGUGCAGGAAGACGGCCCUAUGGGUUGUAAACUGCUUUUCCAGGGGGAGAAACUUGCGCACGUGUUGCGCAAUUGACGGUACCCUGGGAAUAAGCAUCGGCUAACUCCGUGCCAGCAGCCGCGGUAAUACGGAGGAUGCGAGCUUUAUCCGGAUUCAUUGGGUUUAAAGGGUGCGUAGGCGGAUUAUUAAGUCAGUGGUGAAAUCCUGCAGCUUAACUGCAGAACUGCCAUUGAUACUGAUAGCCUUGAGUUUGAUUGAGGUAGGCGGAAUCUGUAAUGUCGCGGUGAAAUGCUUAUAUAUUGCACAGCACCCCAAUUGCGUAGGCACGCUUAUGUGAGCAGACACUGACGCUGAGGCAAGAAAGCGUGGGGAUCGACAAGGAUUAGAUACCCUGGUUGUCCACGCCGUAAAGCGAUGAUUACUCGCUGUUGGCGAUACACUGUCAGCGGCUAAGCAAACGCAAUAAGUAAUCCGCCUGG
Molecule: ribosomal RNA, 540 nt
Filed under: uncultured bacterium
Lineage: Bacteria
Description: bacterial SSU rRNA
Rfam family: Bacterial small subunit ribosomal RNA
Source: RNAcentral